Molecule: long non-coding RNA, 419 nt
Organism: Cryptotermes secundus
Lineage: Eukaryota; Metazoa; Arthropoda; Insecta; Blattodea; Kalotermitidae
Exons: 3
Source: RefSeq, a predicted model, not a curated record
GCAACAGUGAACUGUGAUGUGUAGUCAUGUGCUGUAUCAAAUUGUGCUAUAAAUCAGGUCAUCAAUCCAAACCUAUCUAUAGUCACAUUCUGUUACAUGACAUGGAGUGUCAGAAGUCGGCUCUUCAUGACCACUGCUGUGAGAACCAAAAAUCCUACUUUGUUGGAGAAUUUCUUUUUAUGUGACGCACAAACAUCCUUAGUGGUUGAACCUACUCAGCUGGGCCCAAUCAACAGAGCUAGUCCUUAUCUGUGGAAACCAGGAAAAACACAAGACAGGACAUAUAAACUAAGAGAUAUAUAAUUUGAUCUCAGCUGGCCUAUCAGCUAUUCUAAUUGCAGUUCCUCAUUGUUUCCAUUGCUGUCUACAGGUAAAUGCCAGAACAAUACCUUGAAAUAAGUUCUGACUGCUUCUGUCAA